RNAcentral lists this small nuclear RNA (22 nucleotides) under Arabidopsis thaliana (thale cress). Its description in RNAcentral is "snRNA_09596". The record is from RNAcentral. Lineage: Eukaryota; Viridiplantae; Streptophyta; Magnoliopsida; Brassicales; Brassicaceae.
UCCAAAUAUCCUUCAAUGGAUA